GCGCAGCAGUCGCGAAACCUCCGCAAUACACGAAAGUGUGACGGGGCCAUCCCGAGUGCCGUCCGCUGAGGACGGCUUUUCCCCAGUGUACACAGCUGGGGGAAUAAGGAGAGGGCAAGCCUGGUGUCAGCCGCCGCGGUAAUACCAGCUCUCCGAGUGGUGGGGACGCUUAUUGGGCCUAAAACAUCCGUAGCCGGCUGGGCAAGUCCUCCGUUAAAUCCAACGAUUCAAUCGUUGGGCUGCGGGGGAUACUGUCCAGCUUGGGGGCGGGAGAGGCCGACGGUAUUCCCGGGGUAGGGGUGAAAUCCUAUAAUCCCGGGAGGACCACCAGUGGCGAAGGCUGUCGGCUAGAACGCGCCCGACGGUGAGGGAUGAAAGCUGGGGGAGCGAACCGGAUUAGAUACCGCGUAGU
This 412-nucleotide ribosomal RNA is filed under the name uncultured microorganism. RNAcentral's name for it is "bacterial SSU rRNA". It matches the Rfam family "Archaeal small subunit ribosomal RNA", at positions 330 to 745 of the family's 1478-position model. The record is from RNAcentral.